RNAcentral lists this small nuclear RNA (152 nucleotides) under Sparus aurata (gilthead seabream). RNAcentral's name for it is "U1 spliceosomal RNA (ENSSAUG00010015708.1)". It matches the Rfam family "U1 spliceosomal RNA", at positions 22 to 166 of the family's 166-position model. From Rfam's summary of the family: U1 is a small nuclear RNA (snRNA) component of the spliceosome (involved in pre-mRNA splicing). The record is from RNAcentral. Lineage: Eukaryota; Metazoa; Chordata; Actinopteri; Spariformes; Sparidae.
UUCCAUUGAUGAUAGAAGGUCAUAGGUGGUUCACCCAGGGUGAGGCUCGGCCAUUGCACUCUGACUCUGCUGACCCCUGUGAAUUCCCCAAAUGUGGGAAACUCGACUGCAAGAUUUCUGGUAGUGGGGGACUGCUUUUUUUUGGUUCUUCU